GGUGCCUACGGGACGCAGCAGUGAGGAGUAUUGGUCAAUGAGAGAGAUCCUGAACCAGCCAAGCCGCGUGAGGGAAGACGGCCCUAUGGGUUGUAAACCUCUUUUGUCGGAGAACAAAACCCGGGACGUGUCCCGGACUGCGUGUAUCCGAAGAAAAAGCAUCGGCUAACUCCGUGCCAGCAGCCGCGGUAAUACGGAGGAUGCGAGUGUUAUCCGGAUUUAUUGGGUUUAAAGGGUGCGUAGGCGGUCCGUUAAGUCAGCGGUAAAAUUGCGGGGCUCAACCCCGUCGAGCCGUUUAAACUGGC
This 305-nucleotide ribosomal RNA is filed under the name uncultured bacterium. RNAcentral describes it as "bacterial SSU rRNA". It matches the Rfam family "Bacterial small subunit ribosomal RNA", at positions 334 to 637 of the family's 1533-position model. The record is from RNAcentral.